UAACUGCAUAAGAUGACAUUGUGCCUGAUGCCAGGACAACCUUCCGUGCCACCUUUCGGGUGUGGUCAGCCCUCAAGACCUCACCAAAAGUGCCUUGAAGGAGCAGAUUGAGCGUGCCCUCCUCCCUAUGGUACUCCUGAAUGAGGCAGUCCACCAGAUCCUCUGCUGGGGAGAGCAGUUCCAGCUGCUAACAUCCUGGUCAUAAGAUGGAAGUGGUGAAGCAGCAGGCGUUGGCUGAAAGUGAGCAGGAGAAGGAGCUGCAGACUGAGCUGAGGGUCUUCCAACGACUGCUGCAAAAAUAAAAAAAUACCUUGAGUUGUUGUUGAAUAAAAUAUUAUCUCAAAGUCCAAA
Molecule: non-coding RNA, 351 nt
Organism: Oryzias latipes (Japanese medaka)
Lineage: Eukaryota; Metazoa; Chordata; Actinopteri; Beloniformes; Adrianichthyidae
Source: RefSeq, a predicted model, not a curated record